This 197-nucleotide non-coding RNA is filed under the name Erinaceus europaeus (western European hedgehog). Its description in RNAcentral is "Eukaryotic small subunit ribosomal RNA". It matches the Rfam family "Eukaryotic small subunit ribosomal RNA", at positions 1229 to 1409 of the family's 1831-position model. Lineage: Eukaryota; Metazoa; Chordata; Mammalia; Eulipotyphla; Erinaceidae. The record is from Rfam by way of RNAcentral.
GACAAGUUGGAUUGACAGAUUGAUAGCUCUUUCUGGAUUCCGUGGGUGGUGGUGCAUGGCCAUUCUUAGUUGAUGGAGCGAUUUGUCUGGUUAAUUCCGAUAACGAACGAGACUCUGGCAUGACAAGUUGGAAACCCAGAGUAAUUGAUAGUGUCAUUUCUUAUUUGAGUCUGAAGUUGAGAGAAGGCUGAUUUCCC